RNAcentral lists this ribosomal RNA (834 nucleotides) under uncultured bacterium. Its description in RNAcentral is "bacterial SSU rRNA". It matches the Rfam family "Bacterial small subunit ribosomal RNA", at positions 54 to 878 of the family's 1533-position model. The record is from RNAcentral.
CAUGCAAGUCGAACGGAGUUAUGAUGUGAGCGGGAAGUGCUUGCACUAAACAAUCUUUUCAUAACUUAGUGGCGGACGGGUGAGUAACGCGUGGGUAACCUGCCCUGUACUGGGGGACAACAGUUGGAAACGACUGCUAAUACCGCAUAAGCGCACGGGAUCGCAUGAUCGUGUGUGAAAAACUCCGGUGGUACAGGAUGGACCCGCGUCUGAUUAGCUGGUUGGUGAGGUAACGGCCCACCAAGGCAACGAUCAGUAGCCGGCCUGAGAGGGUGAACGGCCACAUUGGGACUGAGACACGGCCCAAACUCCUACGGGAGGCAGCAGUGGGGAAUAUUGCACAAUGGGGGAAACCCUGAUGCAGCGACGCCGCGUGAGUGAAGAAGUAUUUCGGUAUGUAAAGCUCUAUCAGCAGGGAAGAAAAUGACGGUACCUGACUAAGAAGCCCCGGCUAACUACGUGCCAGCAGCCGCGGUAAUACGUAGGGGGCAAGCGUUAUCCGGAUUUACUGGGUGUAAAGGGAGCGUAGACGGCAUGGCAAGUCUGAAGUGAAAUGCGGGGGCUCAACCCCUGAACUGCUUUGGAAACUGUCAGGCUGGAGUGCAGGAGAGGUAAGUGGAAUUCCUAGUGUAGCGGUGAAAUGCGUAGAUAUUAGGAGGAACACCAGUGGCGAAGGCGGCUUACUGGACUGUAACUGACGUUGAGGCUCGAAAGCGUGGGGAGCAAACAGGAUUAGAUACCCUGGUAGUCCACGCCGUAAACGAUGAUUACUAGGUGUUGGGGAUUUAUAAAUCCUCGGUGCCGUCGCAAACGCAAUAAGUAAUCCACCUGGGG